GUCUGCAACCCGACUCCAUGAAGCUGGAUUCGCUAGUAAUCGCGCAUCAGCCACGGCGCGGUGAAUACGUUCCCGGGCCUUGUACACACCGCCCGUCAAGCCAUGGAAGCCGGGAGUGCCUGAAGUGUGCAACCGCAAGGAGCGCCCUAAGGUAAAACCGGUGACUGGGGCUAAGUCGUAACAAGGUACC
RNAcentral lists this ribosomal RNA (190 nucleotides) under uncultured bacterium. RNAcentral's name for it is "partial 16S ribosomal RNA". It matches the Rfam family "Bacterial small subunit ribosomal RNA", at positions 1303 to 1500 of the family's 1533-position model. The record is from RNAcentral.